This is a long non-coding RNA of Eubalaena glacialis (North Atlantic right whale), 1260 nucleotides long. RefSeq lists it as uncharacterized. Lineage: Eukaryota; Metazoa; Chordata; Mammalia; Artiodactyla; Balaenidae. The record is from RefSeq and is a predicted model, not a curated record. The transcript has 3 exons.
CUCCCAGCCCGGGGGCAGCGGCAGCUCGUCGGUCACGUCGUAGGACUGCUGUCGGAGGUGCGCGUGCUGCUGCGCCGGGCUGCCCGCAGCGCCCGCGCCGGUGCCCAGCUGCAGAGACGCGGGCGACGAGUGCGAGCGGACGUGCUGGGCGCCGCCGGCCAGUCGGGGCCCCGGGUGACCACCGGACGAAUCGGUGCUCGACUGGCGCGAGUGCGAGCCGGAGUCAGGCUCCUUGAAGAACGACUCGGGCAGGAUCUUCUUCCGCCACGAGCUGGGCUUGGGGUUCAUCACCGAGUUGAAGAGGGCUUCGAGGUCCGUGUCUAGGUCUUGAGUGACGUGGAUCACUUGCUGCCCGGGUGGCGGGAGCGGAGGGGGCGCCGAGGCCGGAUUCAUCUUCUGCAAGGAGAAAGGAGGGUGACUCAGGUCACUAGGGGUUGAGAAGAAACCUGGUCAAAGCUUGGGCGCUGGAAAGGGACAGCGAUCGUGCCCCGCUCUCCCGCGACAUCCGCGCGGGUAGUGGGAGGAUUGGAAUGUCCCUGACGCCCUCCAGAGAGCCUGGAGCCGGGAUGGAACCGGAACAGGUGGCUGGGAGCAGAGAGGGUGCGCCAGUGACCCGGAAAAAACCACCCACCCUCCCACCGACUGGAUCUAGGCGAGGGGUGGAGACCCCCUGCUAGAUCUAGACUGGCAAGACAGCUGCGGGAAGUAGGAGGCGGCCUGGUCCUCCGGAGCAGCUCAAUUCCUUCUUUCCCUUGUCCCUUCUCCACUGGGGGGAAGGGGAGAGUGGCUGCGAGAUUAUUCAUUUACAAAUUGGAGAUAACAGUGUGGUAGGCUGUGACACUGCUGGCCUUCAAUGGACCACCCUUCUUUUGGUCACACCCUUAUGGAGUCCCUCCCACUUAAAUCUGGACUGGACCAGUGACUUGCCUUCGCCUGGAAAAUGCAGCCCUGCAUCUGUGCUUGUUCCCUCUUUUAACCCCAAGGGAGGUGUGGAAGUUUCUGCUUCUGUACUUUUGGGAGAUCUGAGCCACUAGGGAAGAAGUGCAACUACUUUGCUGGGGAAACCAUGUGCAGAGGAAGAGGCCCUGAGAUAGGUGGAGACAGGAAGAACUCCAGCCUUCCAGCACCGGAGCUGAGCCCAGCCCACAGCCGGCCCAACAGCUGACUGCAAGGGCAUCAGUAACCAGCAUCAAGACCAAUAGAACCAGAGCCCAGCCCAGCCCAGCCCAGAUUGUAGAACAAAUAAAAUGAAUAUUGUCU